This 489-nucleotide ribosomal RNA is filed under the name uncultured bacterium. RNAcentral's name for it is "partial 16S ribosomal RNA". It matches the Rfam family "Bacterial small subunit ribosomal RNA", at positions 30 to 507 of the family's 1533-position model. The record is from RNAcentral.
UUGAACGCUGGCGGCAGGCCUAACACAUGCAAGUCGAACGGUAACAGGAAACAGCUUGCUGUUUCGCUGACGAGUGGCGGACGGGUGAGUAAUGUCUGGGAAACUGCCUGAUGGAGGGGGAUAACUACUGGAAACGGUAGCUAAUACCGCAUAACGUCGCAAGACCAAAGAGGGGGACCCUCGGGCCUCUUGCCAUCGGAUGUGCCCAGAUGGGAUUAGCCUGUUGGUGGGGUAACGGCUCACCAAGGCGACGAUCCCUAGCUGGUCUGAGAGGAUGACCAGCCACACUGGAACUGAGACACGGUCCAGACUCCUACGGGAGGCAGCAGUGGGGAAUAUUGCACAAUGGGCGCAAGCCUGAUGCAGCCAUGCCGCGUGUAUGAAGAAGGCCUUCGGGUUGUAAAGUACUUUCAGCGGGGAGGAAGGGAGUAAAGUUAAUACCUUUGCCCAUUGACGUUACCCGCAGAAGAAGCACCGGCUAACUCCGUG